This 485-nucleotide ribosomal RNA is filed under the name uncultured bacterium. Its description in RNAcentral is "partial 16S ribosomal RNA". It matches the Rfam family "Bacterial small subunit ribosomal RNA", at positions 30 to 507 of the family's 1533-position model. The record is from RNAcentral.
AUUGAACGCUGGCGGCAUGCCUUACACAUGCAAGUCGAACGGCAGCACGGGUGCUUGCACCUGGUGGCGAGUGGCGAACGGGUGAGUAAUACAUCGGAACGUACCUUAUCGUGGGGGAUAACGCAGCGAAAGUUGCGCUAAUACCGCAUACGCCCUGAGGGGGAAAGCGGGGGACCGUAAGGCCUCGCGCGAUUAGAGCGGCCGAUGUCUGAUUAGCUUGUUGGUGAGGUAAAAGCUCACCAAGGCGAUGAUCAGUAGCUGGUCUGAGAGGACGAUCAGCCACACUGGGACUGAGACACGGCCCAGACUCCUACGGGAGGCAGCAGUGGGGAAUUUGGGACAAUGGGGGCAACCCUGAUCCAGCAAUGCCGCGUGAGUGAAGAAGGCCUUCGGGUUGUAAAGCUCUUUUGUCAGGGAAGAAACAGCAGCUCUAACACAGUCUGCGAAUGACGGUACCUGAAGAAUAAGCACCGGCUAACUACGUG